GACGAACGCUGGCGGCGUGCUUAACACAUGCAAGUCGAACGGAAAGGCCCUGCUUUUGUGGGGUGCUCGAGUGGCGAACGGGUGAGUAACACGUGAGUAACCUGCCCUUGACUUUGGGAUAACUUCAGGAAACUGGGGCUAAUACCGGAUAGGAGCUCCUGCUGCAUGGUGGGGGUUGGAAAGUUUCGGCGGUUGGGGAUGGACGCGCGGCUUAUCAGCUUGUUGGUGGGGUAGUGGCUUACCAAGGCUUUGACGGGUAGCCGGCCUGAGAGGGUGACCGGCCACAUUGGGACUGAGAUACGGCCCAGACUCCUACGGGAGGCAGCAGUGGGGAGUAUUGCACAAUGGGCGGAAGCCUGAUGCAGCAACGCCGCGUGCGGGAUGACGGCCUUCGGGUUGUAAACCGCUUUCGCCUGUGACGAAGCGUGAGUGACGGUAAUGGGUAAAGAAGCACCGGCUAACUACGUG
RNAcentral lists this ribosomal RNA (468 nucleotides) under uncultured bacterium. RNAcentral describes it as "partial 16S ribosomal RNA". It matches the Rfam family "Bacterial small subunit ribosomal RNA", at positions 28 to 507 of the family's 1533-position model. The record is from RNAcentral.